UGGGGAAUAUUGGACAAUGGGCGAAAGCCUGAUCCAGCAAUGCCGCGUGAGUGAUGAAGGCCUUAGGGUUGUAAAGCUCUUUUACCAGGGAUGAUAAUGACAGUACCUGGAGAAUAAGCUCCGGCUAACUCCGUGCCAGCAGCCGCGGUAAUACGGAGGGAGCUAGCGUUGUUCGGAAUUACUGGGCGUAAAGCGCGCGUAGGCGGUUUAUCAAGUCAGGGGUGAAAUCCCGGGGCUCAACCCCGGAACUGCCUGUGAAACUGGUUCACUAGAAUCCUGGAGAGGCGAGUGUAAUUCCGAGUGUAGAGGUGAAAUUCGUAGAUAUUCGGAAGAACACCAGUGGCGAAGGCGACUCGCUGGACAGGUAUUGACGCUGAGGUGCGAAAGCGUGGG
This 393-nucleotide ribosomal RNA is filed under the name uncultured bacterium. RNAcentral's name for it is "bacterial SSU rRNA". It matches the Rfam family "Bacterial small subunit ribosomal RNA", at positions 355 to 765 of the family's 1533-position model. The record is from RNAcentral.